Molecule: ribosomal RNA, 404 nt
Filed under: Verrucomicrobiota bacterium
Lineage: Bacteria; Pseudomonadati; Verrucomicrobiota
Description: Verrucomicrobia bacterium partial 16S ribosomal RNA
Rfam family: Bacterial small subunit ribosomal RNA
Source: RNAcentral
UGGGGAAUAUUGCACAAUGGGGGAAACCCUGAUGCAGCGACGCCGCGUGAGCGAAGAAGGUUUUCGAAUCGUAAAGCUCUGUCCUAUGAGAAGAUAAUGACGGUAUCAUAGGAGGAAGCCCCGGCUAAAUACGUGCCAGCAGCCGCGGUAAUACGGAAGGUCCGGGCGUUAUCCGGAUUUAUUGGGUUUAAAGGGAGCGUAGGCUGUCUAUUAAGCGUGUUGUGAAAUAUACCGGCUCAACCGGUGGCUUGCAGCGCGAACUGGUCGACUUGAGUAUGCAGGAAGUAGGCGGAAUUCAUGGUGUAGCGGUGAAAUGCUUAGAUAUCAUGACGAACUCCGAUUGCGCAGGCAGCUUACUGUAGCAUAACUGACGCUGAUGCUCGAAAGUGCGGGUAUCAAACAGG